This 441-nucleotide ribosomal RNA is filed under the name Salmonella enterica. RNAcentral's name for it is "partial 23S ribosomal RNA". It matches the Rfam family "Bacterial large subunit ribosomal RNA", at positions 100 to 581 of the family's 2925-position model. The record is from RNAcentral. Lineage: Bacteria; Pseudomonadati; Pseudomonadota; Gammaproteobacteria; Enterobacterales; Enterobacteriaceae.
AUAACCGGCGAUUUCCGAAUGGGGAAACCCAGUGUGACUCGUCACACUAUCAUUAACUGAAUCCAUAGGUUAAUGAGGCGAACCGGGGGAACUGAAACAUCUAAGUACCCCGAGGAAAAGAAAUCAACCGAGAUUCCCCCAGUAGCGGCGAGCGAACGGGGAGGAGCCCAGAGCCUGAAUCAGCAUGUGUGUUAGUGGAAGCGUCUGGAAAGGCGCGCGAUACAGGGUGACAGCCCCGUACACAAAAGCGCAUGUGCUGUGAGCUCGAUGAGUAGGGCGGGACACGUGGUAUCCUGUCUGAAUAUGGGGGGACCAUCCUCCAAGGCUAAAUACUCCUGACUGACCGAUAGUGAACCAGUACCGUGAGGGAAAGGCGAAAAGAACCCCGGCGAGGGGAGUGAAAAAGAACCUGAAACCGUGUACGUACAAGCAGUGGGAGCA